Molecule: small nuclear RNA, 107 nt
Filed under: Vicugna pacos (alpaca)
Lineage: Eukaryota; Metazoa; Chordata; Mammalia; Artiodactyla; Camelidae
Description: U4 spliceosomal RNA (ENSVPAG00000015750.1)
Rfam family: U4 spliceosomal RNA
About the family: U4 small nuclear RNA (U4 snRNA) is a component of the major U2-dependent spliceosome.
Source: Rfam by way of RNAcentral
AGCUUUCCACAGUGGCAGUAUCAUAGCCAAUGAGGUUUAUCUGAGGCACGAUUAUUGCUAAUUGAAAAAGAAAAGCCAAUUAGAUCCUCAAAUUUAUUCAAUUGAAU